CAUGGCUCAGGAUGAACGCUGGCUACAGGCUUAACACAUGCAAGUCGAGGGGAAACGGCAUUGAGUGCUUGCACUGAAUGGACGUCGACCGGCGCACGGGUGAGUAACGCGUAUCCAACCUUCCCGUUACUGCGGGAUAACCUGCCGAAAGGCAGACUAAUACCGCAUGUUCUUCGAUGACGGCAUCAGAUUCGAAGCAAAGAUCCGUCGGUAACGGAGGGGGAUGCGUCUGAUUAGCUAGUUGGCGGGGCGACGGCCCACCAAGGCGACGAUCAGUAGGGGUUCUGAGAGGAAGGUCCCCCACAUUGGAACUGAGACACGGUCCAAACUCCUACGG
Molecule: ribosomal RNA, 337 nt
Filed under: uncultured bacterium
Lineage: Bacteria
Description: bacterial SSU rRNA
Rfam family: Bacterial small subunit ribosomal RNA
Source: RNAcentral